ACCCCUCCCUUCCUCCUCCCCGCUCCUCACCUCCCAUCGCAUCGUUUUCGGCGCCCAUCAAGCCUCCGCCCAUCCGCCCACCAGCACUUUCCCGGUGCCAAGCGGGCGUCGUCUCUUCCCUUCGGCAAACAGUCUCCUCCUCAGCCUGGUGGUGGUCGCACAAGCCCUUCACAGCCCUUCGUUCACAUACAACCAAACAUGCCGGGUCGCAAUAAGGAGCUCGAGGCCGAGGUGGUGGCGUGGGUGGAGGCCGUCCUUGGCGAGAAGCUCCCCCCAGGCAACUUCGAGGACGUGUUCCGCGACGGUGUCAUCCUCUGCAACCUCAUCAACAAGCUGCAACCCAACUCGGUCAAGAAGAUCCAGACUUCGGGCGGAUCCUUCAAACUCAUGGAGAAUAUUCAGAGGUUCCAGGAAGCCGUGAAGAAGUACGGCGUCCCUCACGAGGAGAUCUUCCAGACAGCUGAUUUGUUCGAGAGACGAAACAUACCUCAGGUCGUUCUUUGCAUCUACUCGCUCGGUCGCCAGACGCAGAAGCACCCCGAGUACCAGGGGCCGACGCUGGGGCCCAAGAUGGCGGAGGAGCAGAAGCGGGACUGGGACGAGGACCAACAGAGGCUGAUGCGGGACGGCCAGAUCGGGCUCCAGAUGGGCUACAACAAGGGGGCGAGCCAGGCGGGCCUGGGGGCCAUGAACCAGACGCGUCACAUGUAAGGAGGAAAGGAAGAGAGGAAGGAGGGCGUCCUCGUUUCCUUGCGUCGUUAUUCCCAUCGUCUUCGCUUUAUUUUCCCCACUGUGGCGGUGCGGUUUUCUGCCUCCUUCCUCGCACCAUUUCCCCCUUCUUCCCCAGCUCCACCUCCUACUUUUCGCUUCGUGAUGUCUUUGUUUAUUUGAUCUGCCUUUCCUCCCCUUCCUUCUUUGCAUCAUUUUCCUCCUCACCUCUCUACCUAUUCUUCUUCCUCCUCUCCCUCCUCCCUCAACCUUCCUUUGCUUCUUCCUCCGUUGGUCGUCUAACCCCAUUAGCAUUUUCAUGGCGCAGUAUCUCAUUACUUACUUUUCUUCAAAUCCCUCCGAAAAACUAUUUUUAGUUUGUCUUAGACCUUUUCCUUUAUUUGUUCCUCCUUUCUCCCUUCUUCUCCCUUCUCUUCAUUCACCUUUCUUUCUCAUUUGUAUCUUCUUAUGUAAGAAGUCAAAUCUGCCUUUAUUUUCGUCAAUAAACUUUCACAUUAACUUUCCUGUCAUUAUUUCACAUUCUUUGGUCUUCAAGAAAAAACUCAAGAGGAAAGCCAAUACCAGGACCUUUUAUUUUGACCUUAUGUAAGCCUAUUCCAGUUCUCUCUCUCUCUCUCUCUCUCUCUCUCUCUCUCUCUCUCUCUCUCUCUCUCUCUCUCUCUCUCUCUCUCUCUCUCUCUCUGUUUGUCUGUCUUCCUUUCUCCCCCCAAUCUGAUGCUGGUAAGAGGAAAACAAAGUGUCUCAUCAAGAUUAUCUUUUUAAAUUUCUUUCUCUCUUCCUUUAAUUUCUUAUAAACCCUUUUCCUGCCUCACAUAGUUUCUCAAAAUACGUGAGUCAUGCGUCUUCUUAACGACUAUUGGGAAAAAUGCCAGAUUAUGCUUAAUGAUGUAGGUAGUGAUCCCCCCCCCCCCCACAAUUCGUAUCUGCAUAGGGAAUGAGUGUCAUGUUUUACUAGUCGAAUAGAAGCCGAAUUAUUAAGCUAGUCUCCCCCUUUUGUGCUGAUGUUAUGCCGGGUCUCUGUUUUGUUUAAAUCAUGAUGGUAUUAAAAGAAUUAAAAUGA
RNAcentral lists this unclassified non-coding RNA (1789 nucleotides) under Penaeus monodon (black tiger shrimp). Its description in RNAcentral is "muscle-specific protein 20-like, transcript variant X1". The record is from RNAcentral. Lineage: Eukaryota; Metazoa; Arthropoda; Malacostraca; Decapoda; Penaeidae.